AAGGCAAGGGUUGCUUUCCGGAGCAAAUCACCAUUGGGGCUGGUGUUUGUUCACUGAAUACAACAUACUUUGAAGCUUCCAACCUCUUGUUUUGCAGAGUUUCUGAGAUUGCCAUCAGGAGAUAUUCACCCUAACUCAAUAUGUGCUGCUUUUCACUGCUUGUGGAAAGAGAGCAUUUUCAGAGCAAUUCAGGCUUCUCCAAGAAUGAGAAAACUUUUUGAGUGUGUUUCAAGCUACUGAAACAUCCUGUAAACAACCAGUGCACACAGAGGAUUUGGCAGUGGAGUGGCUCAUUUGCCACUCCACUCAUUUGGUGGCAAAAAGGCAAGGGUUGCUUUCUGGAGCAAUCCACCAUUGGAGCUGGUGUUCCUUCACUGAGUAUAACACGCUUUGUGAGUAGGAAGCUUCCAGCCUCUUGUUUUGUGGAGUUUCUGUGAUUGAAUUCAGGCAGUGCUGCUUUUCCCUGCUUGUGAAAGAAAAAAAAAAAGGCAUUUUCAUAGCAAAUCAGGCUUCCCUACAAAGGAGAAUAUGUUUUGAGUGGGUUUCAAGCUACUGAAACCUCCCAUAAAGAAGGGUGCACACAGAGCAUUUGGCAGUGGAGCAGCUAAUUCACCCUAUGUAUAACACAAGCCUAGGUGGCAAAAAGGCAAGGGUUCCUUUCUGGAGAAAACCCUAAUUGGGGCUGGUGUUUGUUCACUGACUACACUAUACUUUGCAUGUAGGAAGCUUCCAGACUCUUCUUUUUUGGAGUUUGUGAGAUUGCCAUCAGGGGAUUAUCGCCCACGCUUGAUAAGUGCUGCUUUUCCGCACUUGUGAAAAGAAGGCAUUUUUAUAGCAAAUUGGGCUUCUCCAUGAAGGAGAACCAUUUUCGAGCAGGUUUCAAGCUACUGAAACCUCCUGUAAACAACCAGUGCAAACAGAGCCUUUGGCAGUGGAGCAGCUCACUUGCCCUAAUUACCACACAGGCCUGGACAAAUAGGCAAGUGUUUCUUUCUGGAGCAAAGCACCACUGGGGCUGGUGUUCAUUUAGUGAGUACAAAAUACUUGGGAAGUAGGAAGCUUCCAGCCUCCUGUUUUGUGUCAUUUGUGAGAUUGCCAUCAGGCAAUUAUUGCCCUAUUUUGCUACCUCCUGCUUAUCCCCUCUUCUGAAAAGAAGGUGCCUCAUCUUUUAAGGUCUGUCCAGAAAGGAGAAAACUAUCUGAAUGUUUUUCAAGCUGCAGAAGCUCCUUGCAAAUACCUAGGGCAAACAGAGUUUUUGUCUGUGGAGCAUGUCCAUCGCCUUAGUUAUAACAGAGGCCUAGGUGGGAAAAAAGCAAGGGUUGCUUUCCAGAGCAAAGAACCAUUUGUGCUGGUAUUCUUUCACUGAAUAGUAUAUACUUUGUAAGUAGAAAGGUUCAAGCCUCUUGUUUUGUGAGUUUUCUCAGAUUGCAGUCAGGUGAUUAUUGUCCUAGCUCACAAUGUGCAGCUUUUCCCCACUAGUGAAAGGAAGGUAUUUUCAUAGCAAAUCAUAGUUCUCCCAAAAAAGAAAAAGUUCUGAGUAUGGUUCAAGAUCCUGAAACCCCUUGCAUACACCUAGUACAAACAGAACAUUUGGCAGGGGAGCAGAUCAAAUGCCCUAGUUAUAACAGAGGCCUAGGUGGGAAUAAGGCAAGGGUUGCUUUCCAGAGAUAACCAUCUUUGGGGCUGGUGUUUGUUGACUGAAUAAAAUAUACUUUGCAAGUAGGAACCUUCCAGCCUCUUGCAUUGUACAAUUGUGAGAUUGCUAUCAGUCGAUUAUCCCCUAGCUUGCUAUGUGCAGCUUUACCCUGCUUGUGAAAAGAAGGCAUUUUCAUACCAAAUCAGGCUUCUCUGGAAAGGAUAACACACUCUGAAUAUGUUUCAAGCUACCGAAGCCCCUUGCAAACACCUAGUGCAGACAGGGCAUCUAUCAAGAUUAUUAUAACAGAAUCCUCAGUGGAAAAAAUGCAAGGGUUCCUUUAAGGGGAAAACCACCAUUGGGGCUGCUGUUUGUUCCUUGAGUAGAAUAUACUUUGCAAGAAGGAAUCUUUUAGCCUCUUCUUUUGUGUCAUUUGUCAGGUUGCUAUCAGUCGAUUAUCAUCUUAGCUGGCUAGGUUCAUCAUUUCCCCAAAUAGGAAAAGAAGGUAUUUUCAUACCAAAUCAGUAUUCUCCAGAAAGGAGAACACAUUCUAGUGUGUUUCAAGCUGCUCAAAACCCUGGCAAAGACCUAAUGCAGAAAGAGCAUUUUGCAGGGAAAUGGAUCAAUCUCCCUAGUUAUGACAGACAAUUUGGUGGGUAAAUGGCAAGGGUGCUUUCUGGAGCAAACUGCCAUUGGGCUAGUGUUUGUUCACUGAGUAGAAUAUACUUUACAAAUAGGAAGCAUCCAGCCUCUUGUAUUUUGUCAUUUGUGAGAUUGCCCUCAGGCGAUUAUUGCCAUAGGUGGCUAUGUGCAGAUUUUUGCCUGCUUGUGAAAAGAAGGCACUUUCAUACCAAUUCAUGCUUCUCCAGAAAAUAGAACAUGUCUGGGGGUAUUUAAAUCUACUGAACCCCUUGCACACACCUACUGCACACAGAAUUUGGCAGUGGAGCACAUCAAUAUACCUAGUUGUAACAGAGGUCUAGGUUGGAAAAAGGCAAGGGUUUCUUUCUUGGCAAACCACCAUUGGAGCUGGUGUUCAUUCAGUGAUUAAAAUAUACUUUGCAAG
Molecule: long non-coding RNA, 2702 nt
Filed under: Sus scrofa (pig)
Lineage: Eukaryota; Metazoa; Chordata; Mammalia; Artiodactyla; Suidae
Description: lncRNA (ENSSSCG00050068526.1)
Source: RNAcentral